This 14962-nucleotide long non-coding RNA is filed under the name Xyrichtys novacula (pearly razorfish). Lineage: Eukaryota; Metazoa; Chordata; Actinopteri; Labriformes; Labridae. The record is from RNAcentral.
UAUAUAUAUAUAAAUAACAAAAAAACAAAAAAAAACUUAAAAAAACACUUACAAACAGGCAGAAUAAAACUAAAGAAAACUAAAAAGAGGAGAAAGGAUAGUGUAAACAAAAUAAAAAAACAGAAGGAAAAGAAUUUCUGAAAAAAAACACCCUAAUUAUAUAUAACAGAAAAAAACUAAAAAAACUAAUAAAAAAACUUAAAACAGGCAGAAAAAAAACUAGAGAAAACUAAAAAAAGAGAAAGGAUAGUAUAAACAAAAUUGAAAAAACAGAAAGAAAAGUAUAUCAGAAAAAACACCCCAAAUAUAUAGAAAAAACAAAAAAAAACAACAAAAAAACUUAAAACAGGCAGAAAAAAACUAAAGAAAACUAAAAAAGAGAAAGGAUAGUAUAAACAAAAUAAAAAAACAGAGGGAAAAGUAUUUCAGAAAAAAAGACCCUAAAUAUAUAGAAAAAACAAAAACAAAAAAAAAUUAAAACAGGUAGAAAAAAACUAAAGAAAACUAAAAAAGAGAAAGGAUAGUAUAAACAAAAUAAAAAAAACAGAAGGAAAAGUAUUUUAGAAAGGGAAACCCUUUAUAUUUAUAAAUAACAAAAAAACUAAAAAAAAACUUUAAACAUGCAGAAAAAAACUAAAGAAAACAAAGAAAAAGAAUAGUAUUUGUAAAAAAAAAAAAAAAAAGUAAAAUCACAGUAUUUCUGAAAAAAAAAACUUAAAACAGGCAGAAAAAUAAAAAAGAACUAUAGGAAACUAAAGAAAAGAAAAGUAUUUCUGAAAAAAAGGAACAAAAACCCACCCUAAACCGGGUGUUUUGGACAGAAAAAAAAACCCUUGCGGUUUUUCCCUCCCAUGUGAGGGUUUUUUCCCCUCCUUGAGCUACCACCUUACCGUGGUGGAGGGGUUUGUGUGUCCCAAUGAUCCCAGGAGCUAUGUUGUCAGGGCUUUAUGCCUCUGAAAGGUUACCCAAGGCAGCAGGUCCUGGGGUAGGGACCAGACUAAGAGUAGCUCAUCCAGACAGAGGUGCCAGGGAAAAAAAUAGGGAAAAAAACUGAAGAAAAAAAAAACUAAAGAAAACAAAAAAUAGAAAAAUUAAAACAGGCAGAAAAAAACUAAAGAAAACUAAUAAAAAGAAGAUUAGUAUUUCCAAAAAAACUUCAAAAAACUGAAAAAAAAACUUAGAACAGGCAGACAAAAACUAAAGAAAACUAAAAAAGAGAAAGGAUAGUAUAAACAAAAUAAAAAAAACAGAAGGAAAAGUAUUUCAGAAAAGAACACCCUUAAUAUAUAUAAAUAACAAAAAACUAAAAAAAACUUAAAACAGGCAGACAAAAACUAAAGAAAACUAAAAAAAGAAGAAAAAGAAUAGUAUUUCUAAAAAAACUUUAAAAAACUAAAAAAAAAUCUAAAAAAAAACUUAACAGGCAGAAAAAAACUAAAGUAAACUAAAAAAGGAGAAAGGAUAGUGUAAACAAAAUAAAAAAAACAGAAGGAAAAGUAUUUCAGAAAAAACACCCUAAAUAUAUAGAAAAAACAAAAAAAACUAAAAAAACAAAACAAAACUUAAAACAGGCAGAAAAAAACUAAAGAAAACUAAAAAAUUGAAAGGAUGGUAUAAACAAAAUAAAAAAACAGAAGGAAAAGUAUAUCUGAAAAACACACCCUAAAUAUAUUUAUAAAUAAAAAAAACUAAAAAAAAACUAAUAAAAAAACUUAAAACAGGCAGAAAAAAACUAGAGAAAACUAAAAAAAGAGAAAGGAUAGUAUAAACAAAAUUGAAAAAACAGAAAGAAAAGUAUAUCAGAAAAAAUACCCCAAAUAUAUAGAAAAAAAAAAAAAAAAAACUUAAAACAGGCAGAAAAAAACUAAAGAAAACUAAAAAAUAGAAAGGAUAGUAUAAACAAAAUAAAAAAACAGAGGGAAAAGUAUUUCAGAAAAAAAGACCCUAAAUAUAUAGAAAAAACAAAAAAAACUAAAAAAACAAAACAAAACUUAAAACAGGCAGAAAAAAACUAAAGAAAACUAAAAAAUAGAAAGGAUGGUAUAAACAAAAUAAAAAAACAGAAGGAAAAGUAUAUCGGAAAAACACACCCUAAAUAUAUUUAUAAAUAAAAAAAACUAAAAAAAAACUAAAAAAAAAACUUUAAACAGGCAGAAAAAAACUAAAGAAAACUAAAAAUAGUAUAAACAAAAUUAAAAAACAGAAGGAAAAGUAUUUCUGAAAAAACACCCUAAAUAUAUUACAAAAAGAACUAAAAAAAACUUUAAAAAAAACUUAAAACAGGCAGAAAAAUCUAAAGUAAACAAAAAAAGGAGAAAGGAUAUUAUAAACAAAAUAAAAAAAAAGAAGGAAAAGUAUUUCUGAUAAAACACCCUUAAUAUAUUACAAAAAGAACUAAAAAACUAAAAGAAAAACUUAAAACAGGCAGACAAAACACUAAAGAAAAUUAAAAAAAGAGAAAGGAUAGUAUAAACAAAAUAAAAAAACAGAAGGAAAAGUAUUUCAGAAAAAAACACCCUAAAUAUAUAGAAAAAACUAAAAAAAAAAAUUAAAACAUGAAGAAAAAAAUGAAGAAAACUACAAAAGAGAAAGGAUAGUUAAAACAAAAUAAAAAAAAACAGAAAGAAAAGUAUAUCAGAAAAAAACACCCUAAAUAUAUAGAAAAAAAGAAAAAAAAAACAAAAAAAAAUUAAAACAGGCAGAAAAAAAACUAAAGAAAACUAAAAAAAGAGAAAGGAUAGUAUAAACAAAAUAAAAAACAUAAGGAAAAGUAUUUCAGAAAAGAACACCCUUAAUAUAUAUAAAUAACAAAAAACUAAAAAAAACUUAAAACAGGCAGAAAAAAACUAAAGAAAACUAAAAAAAGAAGAAAAAGAAUAGUAUUUCUAAAAAAAACUUUAAAAAACUAAAAAAAAUCUAAAAAAAAACUUAACAGGCAGAAAAAAACUAAAGUAAACUAAAAAAGGAGAAAGGAUAGUGUAAACAAAAUAAAAAAAAACAGAAGGAAAAGUAUUUCAGAAAAAACACCCUAAAUAUAUAGAAAAAACAAAAAAAAACUAAAAAAACAAAACAAAACUUAAAACAGGCAGAAAAAAACUAAAGAAAACUAAAAAAUAGAAAGGAUGGUAUAAACAAAAUAAAAAAACAGAAGGAAAAGUAUAUCUGAAAAAAACACCCUAAAUAUAUUUAUAAAUAAAAAAAAACUAAAAAAAAACAAAAAAAAAACUUUAAACAGGCAGAAAAAAACUAAAGAAAACUAAAAAUAGUAUAAACAAAAUUAAAAAACAGAAGGAAAAGUAUUUCUGAAAAAACACCCUAAAUAUAUUACAAAAAGAACUAAAAAAAACUUUUAAAAAACUUAAAACAGGCAGAAAAAUCUAAAGUAAACUAAAAAAGGAGAAAGGAUAUUAUAAACAAAAUAAAAAAAAGAAGGAAAAGUAUUUCUGAUAAAACACCCUUAAUAUAUUACAAAAAUAACUAAAAAAACUAAAAGAAAAACUUAAAACAGGCAGACAAAAAACUAAAGAAAAUUAAAAAAAGAGAAAGGAAAGUAUAAACAAAAUAAAAAAAACAGAAGGAAAAGUAUUUCAGAAAAAAACACCCUAAAUAUAUAGAAAAAACUAAAAAAAAAAUUAAAACAUGAAGAAAAAAAUGAAGAAAACUACAAAAGAGAAAGGAUAGUUAAAACAAAAUAAAAAAAAACAGAAAGAAAAGUAUAUCAGAAAAAAACACCCUAAAUAUAUAGAAAAAACAAAAAAAAAACAAAAAAAAAUUAAAACAGGCAGAAAAAAAACUAAAGAAAACUAAAAAAAAGAGAAAGGAUAGUAUAAACAAAAUAAAAAACAGAAGGAAAAGUAUUUCAGAAAAGAACAACCUAUAUAUAUAUAUAUAUAAAUAACAAAAAAAAACUUAAAAAAAACUUAAAAACAGGCAGAAUAAAACUAAAGAAAACUAAAAAAGAAGAAAAAGAAUAGUAUUUCUAAAAAAACGUUAAAAAAAUAAAAAAAACUUAAAACAGGCAGAAAAAACUAAAGUAAACUAAAAAAAGGAGAAAGGAUAGUGUAAACAAAAUUAAAAAAACAGAAGGAAAAGUAUUUCUGAAAAAAAACACCCUAAAUAUAUAUAACAAAAAGAACUAAAAAAACUAAAAGAAAGGAUAGGAUAAAGGAUAGAAAGGAUGGUAUAAACAAAAUAAAAAAAAAAAACAGAAGGAAAAGUAUUUCAGAAAAGAAAAACCUAUAUAUAUAUAUAAAUAACAAAAAAACUGAAAAAAAAACUAAAAAAAACCCUUAAAAACAGGCAGAAUAAAACUAAAGAAAACUAAAAAAAGAAGAAAAAGAAUAGUAUUUCUAAAAAAAACUUUAAAAAACUAAAAAAAAACUUAAAACAGGCAGAAAAAACUAAAGUAAACUAAAAAGAGGAGAAAGGAUAGUGUAAACAAAAUAAAAAAACAGAAGGAAAAGAAUUUCUGAAAAAAAAACACCCUAAUUAUAUAUAACAGAAAAAAACUAAAAAAACUAAUAAAAAAACUUAAAACAGGCAGAAAAAAAACUAGAGAAAACUAAAAAAAGAGAAAGGAUAGUAUAAACAAAAUUGAAAAAACAGAAAGAAAAGUAUAUCAGAAAAAACACCCGAAAUAUAUAGAAAAAACAAAAAAACAAAAAAACAAAAACUUAAAACAGGCAGAAAAAAACUAAAGAAAUAAAGGAUAGAAAGGAUGGUAUAAACAAAAUAAAAAAAAAACAGAAGGAAAAGUAUUUCAGAAAAGAACAACCUAUAUAUAUAUAUAAAUAACAAAAAAACUGAAAAAAACCUAAAAAAAAACCUUAACAACAGGCAGAAUAAAACUAAAGAAAACUAAAAAAAGAAAAAAAAGAAUAGUAUUUCUAAAAAAAACUUUUAAAAACUAAAAAAAAAACUUAAAACAGGCAGAAAAAAACUAAAGUAAACUAAAAAGAGGAGAAAGGAUAGUGUAAACAAAAUAAAAAAACAGAAGGAAAAGAAUUUCUGAAAAAAAACCACCCUAAUUAUAUAUAACAGAAAAAAACUAAAAAAACUAAUAAAAAAACUUAAAACAGGCAGAAAAAAACUAGAGAAAACUAAAAAAAGAGAAAGGAUAGUAUAAACAAAAUUGAAAAAACAGAAAGAAAAGUAUAUCAGAAAAAAUACCCCAAAUAUAUAGAAAAAAAAAAAAAAAAAAACUUAAAACAGGCAGAAAAAAACUAAAGAAAACUAAAAAAUAGACAGGAUAGUAUAAACAAAAUAAAAAAACAGAGGGAAAAGUAUUUCAGAAAAAAAGACCCUAAAUAUAUAGAAAAAACAAAAAAGACAAACAAAAAAAACUUAAAACAGGUAGAAAAAAACUAAAGAAAACUAAAAAAGAGAAAGGAUAGUAUAAACAAAAUAAAAAAAACAGAAGGAAAAGUAUUUUAGAAAGGAAAACCCUUUAUAUUUAUAAAUAACAAAAAAAACAAAAAAAAACUUUAAACAUGCAGAAAAAAACUAAAGAAAACAAAGAAAAAGAAUAGUAUUUGUAAAAAAAAAAAAGUAAAAAAAAAAGUAAAAUCACAGUAUUUCUGAAAAAAAAAACUUAAAACAGGCAGAAAAAUAAAAAAGAACUAUAGGAAACUAAAGAAAUGAAAAGUAUUUCUGAAAAAAAAGAACAAAAACCCACCCUAAACCGGUUGUUUUGGACAGAAAAAAAAACCCUCGGGUUUUUCCCUCCCAUGUGAGGGUUUUUUCCCCUCCUUGAGCUACCACCUUACCGUGGUGGAGGGGUUUGUGUGUCCCAAUGAUCCCAGGAGCUAUGUUGUCAGGGCUUUAUGCCUCUGAAAGGUUACCCAAGGCAAACAGGUCCUGGGGGAGGGACCAGACUAAGAGUAGCUCAUCCAGACAGAGGUGCCAGGCAAAAAAAUAGGAAAAAAAAACUGAAGAAAAAAAACUAAAGAAAACAAAAAACAGAAAAAUUAAAACAGGCAGAAAAAAACUAAAGAAAAAUAAUAAAAAGAAGAUUAUUAUUUCUAAAAAAAACUUCAAAAAACUAAAAAAAAACUUAGAACAGGCAGACAAAAACUAAAAAAAACAGAAGGAACAGUAUUUCUGAAAAAACACCCUAAAUAUAUUACAAAAAGAACUAAAAAAAACUUUAAAAAAACUUAAAACAGGCAGAAAAAUCUAAAGUAAACUAAAAAAGGAGAAAGGAUAUUAUAAACAAAAUAAAAAAAAGAAGGAAAAGUAUUUCUGAUAAAACACCCUUAAUAUAUUACAAAAAUAACUAAAAAAACUAAAAGAAAAACUUAAAACAGGCAGACAAAAAACUAAAGAAAAUUAAAAAAAGAGAAAGGAUAGUAUAAACAAAAUAAAAAAAACAGAAGGAAAAGUAUUUCAGAAAAAAACACCCUAAAUAUAUAGAAAAAACUAAAAAAAAAAUUAAAACAUGAAGAAAAAAAUGAAGAAAACUACAAAAGAGAAAGGAUAGUUAAAACAAAAUAAAAAAAAACAGAAAGAAAAGUAUAUCAGAAAAAAGCACCCUAAAUAUAUAGAAAAAACAAAAAAAAAAAAAAAAAAAUUAAAACAGGCAGAAAAAAAACUAAAGAAAACUAAAAAAAAGAGAAAGGCUAGUAUAAACAAAAUAAAAAACAGAAGGAAAAGUAUUUCAGAAAAGAACAACAUAUAUAUAUAUAAAUAACAAAAAAACAAAAAAAACUUAAAAAAACACUUACAAACAGGCAGAAUAAAACUAAAGUAAACUAAAAAAGAAGAAAAAGAAUAGUAUUUCUAAAAAAACGUUAAAAAAAUAAAAAAAAACUUAAAACAGGCAGAAAAAACUAAAGUAAACUAAAAAAAGGAGAAAGGAUAGUGUAAACAAAAUUAAAAAAACAGAAGGAAAAAUAUUUCUGAAAAAAAACACCCUAAAUAUAUAUAACAAAAAGAACUAAAAAAACUAAAAGAAAGGAUAGGAUAAAGGAUAGAAAGGAUGGUAUAAACAAAAUAAAAAAAAAAAACAGAAGGAAAAGUAUUUCAGAAAAGAACAACCUAUAUAUAUAUAUAAAUAACAAAAAAACUGAAAAAAAAACUAAAAAAAACCCUUAAAAACAGGCAGAAUAAAACUAAAGAAAACUAAAAAAAGAAGAAAAAGAAUAGUAUUUCUAAAAAAAACUUUUAAAAACUAAAAAAAAACUUAAAACAGGCAGAAAAAACUAAAGUAAACUAAAAAGAGGAGAAAGGAUAGUGUAAACAAAAUAAAAAACAGAAGGAAAAGAAUUUCUGAAAAAAAAAACACCCUAAUUAUAUAUAACAGAAAAAAACUAAAAAAACUAAUAAAAAAACUUAAAACAGGCAGAAAAAAAACUAGAGAAAACUAAAAAAAGAGAAAGGAUAGUAUAAACAAAAUUGAAAAAACAGAAAGAAAAGUAUAUCAGAAAAAACACCCCAAAUAUAUAGAAAAAAAAAAAAAAAAAAAAAAAAAAAACUUAAAACAGGCAGAAAAAAACUAAAGAAAUAAAGGAUAGAAAGGAUGGUAUAAACAAAAUAAAAAAAAAACAGAAGGAAAAGUAUUUCAGAAAAGAACAACCUAUAUAUAUAUAUAAAUAACAAAAAAACUGAAAAAAAACUAAAAAAACCCUUAAAAACAGGCAGAAUAAAACUAAAGAAAACUAAAAAAAGAAGAAAAAGAAUAGUAUUUCUAAAAAAAACUUUUAAAAACUAAAAAAAAACUUAAAACAGGCAGAAAAAACUAAAGUAAACUAAAAAGAGGAGAAAGGAUAGUGUAAACAAAAUAAAAAAACAGAAGGAAAAGAAUUUCUGAAAAAAAACCACCCUAAUUAUAUAUAACAGAAAAAAACUAAAAAAACUAAUAAAAAAACUUAAAACAGGCAGAAAAAAACUAGAGAAAACUAAAAAAAGAGAAAGGAUAGUAUAAACAAAAUUGAAAAAACAGAAAGAAAAGUAUAUCAGAAAAAAUACCCCAAAUAUAUAUAAAAAAAAAAAAAAAAAAACUUAAAACAGGCAGAAAAAAACUAAAGAAAACUAAAAAAUAGAAAGGAUAGUAUAAACAAAAUAAAAAAACAGAGGGAAAAGUAUUUCAGAAAAAAAGACCCUAAAUAUAUAGAAAAAACAAAAAAGACAAACAAAAAAAACUUAAAACAGGUAGAAAAAAACUAAAGAAAACUAAAAAAGAGAAAGGAUAGUAUAAACAAAAUAAAAAAAACAGAAGGAAAAGUAUUUUAGAAAGGAAAACCCUUUAUAUUUAUAAAUAACAAAAAAAACAAAAAAAAACUUUAAACAUGCAGAAAAAAACUAAAGAAAACAAAGAAAAAGAAUAGUAUUUGUAAAAAAAAAAAAAGUAAAAAAAAAAAGUAAAAUCACAGUAUUUCUGAAAAAAAAAACUUAAAACAGGCAGAAAAAUAAAAAAGAACUAUAGGAAACUAAAGAAAAUAAAAGUAUUUCUGAAAAAAAAGAACAAAAACCCACCCUAAACCGGUUGUUUUGGACAGAAAAAAAAACCCUUGCGGUUUUUCCCUCCCAUGUGAGGGUUUUUUCCCCUCCUUGAGCUACCACCUUACCGUGGUGGAGGGGUUUGUGUGUCCCAAUGAUCCCAGGAGCUAUGUUGUCAGGGCUUUAUGCCUCUGAAAGGUUACCCAAGGCAAACAGGUCCUGGGGGAGGGACCAGACUAAGAGUAGCUCAUCCAGACAGAGGUGCCAGGCAAAAAAAUAGGAAAAAAAAACUGAAGAAAAAAAACUAAAGAAAACAAAAAACAGAAAAAUUAAAACAGGCAGAAAAAAACUAAAGAAAACUAAUAAAAAGAAGAUUAUUAUUUCUAAAAAAAACUAAAAAAAACUAAAAAAAAACUUAGAACAGGCAGACAAAAACUAAAAAAAACAGAAGGAACAGUAUUUCUGAAAAAACACCCUAAAUAUAUUACAAAAAGAACAAAAAAAAACUAAAAAAUAAAAUUAAAACAGGCAGAAAAAACUAAAGUAAACUAAAAAAGGAGAAAGGAUAUUAUAAACAAAAUAAAAAAAACAGAAGUAUUUCUGAUAAAACACCCUAAAUAUAUUACAAAAGUAACUAAAAAAACCUAAAAAAAACCACUUAAAACAGGCAGACAAAAAACUAAAGAAAAUUAAAGAAAGAGAAAGGAUAGUAUAAACAAAAUAAAAAAAACAGAAGGAAAAGUAUUUCAGAAAAAACACCCUAAAUAUAUAGAAAAAACUAAAAAACUAAAAAAACUAAAAAAAAACUUAAAACAGGCAGAAAAAAACUAAAGAAAACUAAAAAAGAGAAAGGAUGGUAUAAACAAAAUAAAAAAACAGAAGGAAAAGUAUUUUAGAAAGGAAAACCCUUAAUAUUUAUAAAUAACAAAAAAAAACUAAAAAACAACUUUAAACAUGCAGAAAAAAACUAAAGAAAACUAAAAAAGAAGAAAAAGAAUAGUUUUUCUAAUAAAAAAUUAAAACAGGCAGAAAAAAAACUAAAGAAAACUAAAAAAAAGAGAAAGGAUAGUAUAAACAAAAUAAAAAAAACAGAAGGAAAAGUAUUUCAGAAAAGAACAACCUAUAUAUAUAAAUAACAAAAAACUAAAAAAAAACUAAAAAAAACUUAAAAACAGGAAGAAUAAAACUAAAGAAAAUUAAAAAAGAAGAAAAGGAUAGUAUUUCUAAAAAAAAAACUUUAAAAAACUAAAAAAAACUAAAAAACAACCUUAAAACAGGCAGAAAAAAACUAAAGUUAACCAAAAAAAGGAGAAAGGAUAGUGUAAACAAAAUUAAAAAAACAGAAGGAAAAGUAUUUCUGAAAAAAAACACCCUAAAUAUAUAUAACAAAAAGAACUAAAAAAACUAAAAGAAAGGAUAGGAUAAAGGAUAGAAGGAUAGAAAGGAUAGUAUAAACAAAAUAAAAAAACACAAGGAAAAGUAUUUCAGAAAAGAACAACCUAUAUAUAUACACUCACCGGCCACUUUAUUAGGUACACCAUGCUAGUAACGGGUUGGACCCCCUUUUGCCUUCAGAACUGCCUCAAUUCUUCGUGGCAUAGAUUCAACAAGGUGCUGGAAGCAUUCCUCAGAGAGCUUGGUCCAUAUUGACAUGAUGGCAUCACACAGUUGCCGCAGAUUUGUCGGCUGCACAUCCAUGAUGCGAAUCUCCCGCUCCACCACAUCCCAAAGAUGCUCUAUUGGAUUGAGAUCUGGUGACUGUGGAGGCCAUUUGAGUACAGUGAACUCAUUGUCAUGUUCAAGAAACCAGUCUGAGAUGAUUCCAGCUUUAUGACAUGGCGCAUUAUCCUGCUGAAAGUAGCCAUCAGAAGUUGGGUACAUUGUGGUCAUAAAGGGAUGGACAUGGUCAGCAACAAUACUCAGGUAGGCUGUGGCGUUGCAACGAUGCUCAAUUGGUACCAAGGGGCCCAAAGAGUGCCAAGAAAAUAUUCCCCACACCAUGACACCACCACCACCAGCCAGAACUGUUGAUACAAGGCAGGAUGGAUCCAUGCUUUCAUGUUGUUGACGCCAAAUUCUGACCCUACCAUCCGAAUGUCGUAGCAGAAAUCGAGACUCAUCAGACCAGGCAACGUUUUUCCAAUCUUCAUUGUCCAAUUUCGAUGAGCUUGUGCAAAUUGUAGCCUCAGUUUCCUGUUCUUAGCUGAAAGGAGUGGCACCUGGCGUGGUCUUCUGCUGCUGUAGCCCAUCUGCCUCAAAGUUCGAUGUACUGUGCGUUCAGAGAUGCUCUUCUGCCUACCUUGGUUGUAACGGGUGGUUAUUUGAGUCACUGUUGCCUUUCUAUCAGCUCAAACCAGUCUGGCCAUUCUCCUCUGACCUCUGGCAUCAACAAGGCAUUUCCGCCCACAGAACUGCCGCUCACUGGAUAUUUUUUCUUUUUCGGACCAUUCUCUGUAAACCCUAGAGAUGGUUGUGCGUGAAAAUCCCAGUAGAUCAGCAGUUUCUGAAAUACUCAGACCAGCCCUUCUGGCACUAACAACCAUGCCACGUUCAAAGUCACUCAAAUCACCUUUCUUCCCCAUACUGAUGCUCGGUUUGAACUGCAGGAGAUUGUCUUGACCAUGUCUACAUGCCUAAAUGCACUAAGUUGCCGCCAUGUGAUUGGCUGAUUAGAAAUUAAGUGUUAACGAGCAGUUGGACAGGUGUACCUAAUAAAGUGGCCAGUGAGUGUAUAUAAAUAACAAAAAACUGAAAAAAAACUAAAAAAAAACCUUAAAAACAGGCAGAAUAAAACUAAAGAAAACUAAAAAAAAGGAGAAAAAGAAUAGUAUUUGAGAAAAAAAACACCCUAAAUAUAUAGAAAAAAAAAAAAAAAAAAAAAAACUUAAAACAGGGAGAAAAAAACUAAAGAAAACUAAAAAAGAGAAAGGAUAUUAUAAACAAAAUGAAAAAAAAGAAGGAAAAGUAUUUCAGAAAAGAACACCCUUAAUAUAUAUAAAUAACAACAAGAAAAAAACUAAAAAACAACCUUAAAACAGGUUGUUUAUAUAUAUAAAUAACAAAAAACUGAAAAAAACCUAAAAAAACCCUUAAAAACAGGCAGAAUAAAACUAAAGAAAACUAAAAAAAGAAGAAAAAGAAUAGUAUUUCUAAAAAAAAACUUUAAAAAACUAAAAAAAAACACUUAAAACAGGCAGACAAAAAACUAAAGAAAAUUAAAGAAAGAGAAAGGAUAGUAUAAACAAAAUAAAAAAAACAGAAGGAAAAGUAUUUCAGAAAAAAACACCCUAAAUAUAUAGAAAAAACUAAAAAACUAAAAAAACUAAAAAAAACUUAAAACAGGCAGAAAAAAACUAAAGAAAACUAAAAAAGAGAAAGGAUAGUAUAAACAAAAUAAAAAAAACAGAAGGAAAAGUAUUUCUGAUAAAACACCCUAAAUAUAUUACAAAAAGAACUAAAAAAAACUAAAAAAAAAAAAACUAAAAACAGGCAGACAAAAAACUAAAGAAAAUUAAAAAAAGAGAAAGGAUAGUGUAAACAAAAUAAAAAAAACAGAAGGAAAAGUAUUUGAGAAAAAAAACACCCUAAAUAUAUAGAAAAAACAAAAAAAACUUAAAACAGGCAGAAAAAAACUAAAGAAAACUAAAAAAGAGAAAGGAUAGUAUAAACAAAAUAAAAAAAACAGAAGGAAAAGUAUUUCAGAAAAGAACAACCUAUAUAUAUAUAAAUAACAACAAGAAAAAAAAACUAAAAAACAACCUUAAAACAGGCAGAAAAAAACUAAAGAAACCUAAAAAAAGAAGAAAAAGAAUAGUAUUUCUAAAACAAACUUUAAAAAACUAAAAAAAAUCUAAAAAAAAAACUUAAAACAGGCAGAAAAAACUAAAGUAAACUAAAAAAGGAGAAAGGAUAUUAUAAACAAAAUAAAAAAACAGAAGGAAAAGUAUUUCUGAUAAAACACCCUAAAUAUAUUACAAAAAGAACUAAAAAAAAAACUAAAAAAAAAAACUAAAAACAGGCAGACAAAAAACUAAAGAAAAUUAAAAAAAAAGAGAAAGGACAGUGUAAACAAAAUAAAAAAAAACAGAAGGAAAACUAUUUCUGAAAAAAAACACCCUAAAUAUAUAUAACAAAAAGAACUAAAAAAACUAAUAAAAACAUCUUAAAACAGGCAGACAAAAAACUAAAGAAAACUAAAUAAAGAGAAAUGAUAGUAUAAACAAUAUUAAAAAAAACAGAAAGAAAAGUAUAUCAGAAAAAACACCCUAAAUAUAUAGAAAAAAAACAAAAAAAAACUAAAAAAAAAACUUAAAACAGGCAGAAAAAAACUAAAGAAAACUAAAAAAGAGAAAGGAUUGUAUAAACAAAAUAAAACAAAACAGAAGGAAAAGUAUUUCAGAAAAAAACACCCUAAAUAUAUAGAAAAAAAAAAAAAAAAAAAAAAAACUUAAAACAGGUAGAAAAUACUAAAGAAAACUAAAAAAGAGAAAGGAUAGUAUAAACAAAAUAAAAAAACAGAAGGAAAAGUAUUUCAGAAAGGAAAACCCUUAAUAUUUAUAAAUGACAAAAAAAACUAAAGAAAACUGAGAAAAAGAAUAGUAUUCGUAAAAAAAAAAACUAAAAAAAAAAAAGAAACAUCACAGUAUUUCUGAAAAAAAACUUAAAACAGGCAGAAAAAUAAAAAAGAACUAUAGGAAACUAAAGAAAUGAAAAGUAUUUCCGAAAAAAAAGAACAAAAACCCACCCUAAACCGGGUGUUUUGCACAGAAAAAAAAACCCUUGCGGUUUUUCCCUCCCAUGUGAGGGUUUUUUCCCCUCCUUGAGCUACCACCUUACCGUGGUGGAGGGGUUUGUGUGUCCCAAUGAUCCCAGGAGCUAUGUUGUCAGGGCUUUAUGCCUCUGAAAGGUUACCCAAGGCAGCAGGUCCUGGGGGAGGGACCAGACUAAGAGUAGCUCAUCAAGAAAGAGGUGCCAGGCAAAAAAAUAGGAAAAAAAACUGAAGAAAAAAAAACUAAAGGAAACAAAAAACAAAACAAUUAAAACAGGCAGAAAAAAACUAAAGAAAACUAAUAAAAAGAAGAUUAGUAUUUCUAAAAAAAACUUCAAAAAACUAAAAAAAAACUUAUAACAGGCAGACAAAAACUAAAGAAAACUAAAAAGGAGAAAGGAUAGUAUAAACAAAAUAAAAAAAAGAAGGAAAAGUAUUUCAGAAAAAAACAACCUAUAUAUAUAUAUAAAUAACAAAAAACUGAAAAAAACCUUAAAAAAAACCUUAAAAACAGGCAGAAUAAAACUAAAGAAAACUAAAAAAAGAAAAAAAAGAAUAGUAUUUCUAAAAAAAACUUUAAAAAACUAAAAAAAACUAAAAAAAAAACUUAAAACAGGCAGAAAAAAACUAAAGUGAACUAAAAAGAGGAGAAAGGAUAGUGUAAACAAAAUAAAAAAACAGAAGGAAAACUAUUUCCGAAAAAAAAACACCCUAAAUAUAUAUAACAAAAAGAACUAAAAAAACUAAUAAAAAAAACUUAAAACAGGCAGACAAAAAACUAAAGAAAACUAAAAAAAGAGAAAGGAUAGUAUAAACAAAAUUAAAAAAACAGAAAGAAAAGUAUAUCAGAAAAAACACCCUAAAUAUAUAGAAAAAACAAAAAAAAAUUAAAACAGGCAGAAAAAAACUGAAGAAAACUAAAAAAGAGAAAGGAUAGUAUAAACAAAAUAAAAAAACAGAAGGAAAAGUAUUUCAGAAAAGAACAACCUAUAUAUAUAUAAAUAAUAAAAAAAGAAAAAAAAAACUAAAAAAAAAACUUAAAAACAGGCAGGAUAAAACUAAAGAAAACUAAAAAAGAAGAAAAAGAAUAGUAUUUUCUAAAAAAACUUUAAAAAACUAAAAAAACUAAAAAAAACUUAAAACAGGCAGAAAAAAACUAAAGUAAACUAAAAAAAGGAGAAAGGAUAGUGUAUACAAAAUUUAAAAAACAGAAGGAAAAGUAUUUCUGAAAAAAAACACCCUAAAUAUAUAUAACAAAUAGAAUUAAAAAAAACAAAAGAAAGGAUAGGAUAAAGGAUAGAAGGAUAGAAAGGAUAGUAUAAACAAAAUAAAAAAACAGAAGGAAAAGUAUUUCAGAAAAGAACAACCUAUAUAUAUAUAAAUAACAAAAAAACUGAAAAAAACCUGAAAAAAACCCUUAAAAACAGGCAGAAUAAAACUAAAGAAAACUAAAAAAAGAAGAAAAAGAAUAGUAUUUCUAAAAAAACUUUAAAAAACUAAAAAAAAAACUUAAAACAGGCAGAAAAAAACUAAAGUAAACUAAAAAGAGGAGAAAGGAUAGUGUAAACAAAAUAAAAAAAAACAGAAGGAAAAGUAUUUCUGAAAAAAACACCCUAAUUAUAAAAAACAAAAAGAACUCAAAAAACUAAUACAAAAAACUUAAAACAGGCAGACAAAAAACUAAAGAAAAUUAAAAAAAGAGAAAGGAUAGUAUAAACAAAAUUAAAAAAACAGAAAGAAAGGUAUAUCAGAAAAAAC